This is a long non-coding RNA of Dreissena polymorpha, 461 nucleotides long. RefSeq lists it as uncharacterized. The record is from RefSeq and is a predicted model, not a curated record. NCBI's taxonomy places the organism in Eukaryota, Metazoa, Mollusca, Bivalvia, Myida, Dreissenidae. The transcript is spliced from 3 exons.
AUGUGAUUAAACAUCGUGAUACAGAGAUUGCAUAUCUCAUUGGUAAACCAUACACUUUCUGCGUCAGUUAAGUGAUAUUGAAUUACAUUUAUUUCCGUUUCUGGUGAUGAUGGAUGCAUUUCGGUUUCUAGUUUUGUGUUUUUUACAGCUUCCAUUGGCACUGACAGAAACCAAAGUUCGGUUGUUUGGUGGGAACUUUGUCUUUGGCUUUGUGGAGAUCUGGCAAGAUGGACAAUGGAGAGUCCUUUGUAGUGAAUUCGACGCAAAUUUCAUGAUAUACAAUCCGCGAACACCAACAGAAAUUGCAAAUGUUAUUUGUGGGAUGCUGCGAAACUCCACCAGAAACACAACAAAUGCUAUCUUGACAACCGGUGAGCCUAGGAACGAGUUCAUGACGAGCGCUAUUGCAAUGCCUAAUCUACGAUGUCAUGGCGACGAAAUCGACAUUUUGUUCUGCAAGU